GAAAUGCGAUAAGUAAUGUGAAUUGCAGAAUUCAGUGAAUCAUCCAAUCUUUGAACGCACAUUGCGCCCGCCAGUAUUCUGGCGGGCAUGCCUGUUCGAGCGUCAUUUCAACCAUCAAGCCCCCCGGCUUGUGUUGGGGACCUGCGGCUGCCGCAGGCCCUGAAAAGCAGUGGCGGGCUCGCUGUCACACCGAGCGUAGUAGCAUACAUCUCGCUCUGGGCGUGCUGCGGGUUCCGGCCGUUAAACCACCUUCGUAACCCAAGGUUGACCUCGGAUCAGGUAGGAAGACCCGCUGAACUUAAGC
Molecule: unclassified non-coding RNA, 304 nt
Filed under: plant metagenome
Description: partial contains 5.8S ribosomal RNA, internal transcribed spacer 2, and large subunit ribosomal RNA
Rfam family: 5.8S ribosomal RNA (bases 1-105)
Source: RNAcentral